This 405-nucleotide ribosomal RNA is filed under the name uncultured bacterium. RNAcentral describes it as "partial 16S ribosomal RNA". It matches the Rfam family "Bacterial small subunit ribosomal RNA", at positions 28 to 526 of the family's 1533-position model. The record is from RNAcentral.
GACGAACGCUGGCGGCGUGCUUAACACAUGCAAGUCGAGCGGAGCGGCGAACGGGUGAGUAACACGUGAGUAACUGCCUUAGACAUUGGGAUAGCCUCGGGAAACCGGGAUUAAUACCAAAUGGUCUAAGAUGACUCGCGUCCCAUUAGCUAGUUGGUGAGGUAACGGCCCACCAAGGCGACGAUGGGUAGCCGGCCUGAGAGGGUGAACGGCCACAUUGGACUGAGAAACGGUCCAAACUCCUACGGGAGGCAGCAGUGGGGAAUAUUGCACAAUGGAGGGAACUCUGAUGCAGCAACGCCGCGUGCGGGAUGACGGCCUUCGGGUUGUAAACCGCUUUCAGCCAUGACGCGGUAGUGGCAGAAGAAGCACCGGCUAACUACGUGCCAGCAGCCGCGGUAAUUC